Molecule: ribosomal RNA, 493 nt
Filed under: uncultured bacterium
Lineage: Bacteria
Description: partial 16S ribosomal RNA
Rfam family: Bacterial small subunit ribosomal RNA
Source: RNAcentral
ACGCACGCUGGCGGCGCGCUUAACACAUGCAAGUCGAACGGAAAGGCCUGCUUUCCCUUGUGGAUUGCGGGUACUCGAGUGGCGAACGGGUGAGUAACACGUGAGUGAUCUGCCCCCAACUUGGGUAUAAGCCUGGGAAACUGGGUCUAAUUCCCGAUAGGACUGCAGGGUGGUGCCUGUGGUGGAAAACGAUUUUCUAGUGGUUGGGGAUGAGCUCGCGGCCUAUCAGCUUGUUGGUGGGGUAAUGGCCUACCAAGGCGGCGACGGGUAGCCGGCCUGAGAGGGUGGACGGACACAUUGGGACUGAGAUACGGCCCAGACUCCUACGGGAGGCAGCAGUGGGGAAUAGUGCACAAUGGGCGGAAGCCUGAUGCAGCGACGCCGCGUGGGGGAUGACGGCCUUCGGGUUGUAAACUCCUUUCGACCGCGAGGAAGCCGCCUGGUUGGAAGGGUGGUGACGGUAGUGGUAGAAGAAGCACCGGCUAACUACGUG